UACGAAGGGGGCUAGCGUCGUUCGGAAUUACUGGGCGUAAAGCGCACGUAGGCUGAUAGUUAAGUGAGGGGUGAAAUCCCAGGGCUCAACCCUGGAACUGCCUUUCAUACUGGCUAUCUCGAGUCCGGAAGAGGUUAGUGGAAUUCCCAGUGUAGAGGUGAAAUUCGUAGAUAUUGGGAAGAACGCCGGUGGCAAAGGCGGCUAACUGGUCCGGUACUGACGCUGAGGUGCGAAAGCGUGGGGAGCAAACAGG
RNAcentral lists this ribosomal RNA (253 nucleotides) under uncultured bacterium. RNAcentral describes it as "partial 16S ribosomal RNA". It matches the Rfam family "Bacterial small subunit ribosomal RNA", at positions 524 to 776 of the family's 1533-position model. The record is from RNAcentral.